RNAcentral lists this ribosomal RNA (478 nucleotides) under uncultured bacterium. RNAcentral's name for it is "partial 16S ribosomal RNA". It matches the Rfam family "Bacterial small subunit ribosomal RNA", at positions 28 to 507 of the family's 1533-position model. The record is from RNAcentral.
GAUGAACGCUGGCGGCGUGCUUAACACAUGCAAGUCGAACGAGAAGUGAAGACGGAAACCUUCGGGCGGAAGGCUUUAUUUCGAGUGGCGGACGGGUGAGUAACGCGUGGGUAACCUGCCUCAUACAGGGGGAUAACAGUUGGAAACGACUGUUAAUACCGCAUAAGACCACAGCACCGAAUGGUGCGGGGGUAAAAACUCCGGUGGUAUGAGAUGGACCCGCGUUCGAUUAGCCAGUUGGCGGGGUAACGGCCCACCAAAGCGACGAUCGAUAGCCGAUCUGAGAGGAUGACCGGCCACAUUGGGACUGAGACACGGCCCAAACUCCUACGGGAGGCAGCAGUGGGGAAUAUUGCACAAUGGGGGAAACCCUGAUGCAGCGACGCCGCGUGAGUGAAGAAGUAGUUCGGUAUGUAAAGCUCUAUCAGCAGGGGAGAAAAUGACGGUACCUGAGUAAGAAGCCCCGGCUAACUACGUG